This 253-nucleotide ribosomal RNA is filed under the name uncultured bacterium. RNAcentral's name for it is "partial 16S ribosomal RNA". It matches the Rfam family "Bacterial small subunit ribosomal RNA", at positions 524 to 776 of the family's 1533-position model. The record is from RNAcentral.
UACAGAGGGUGCGAGCGUUAGUCGGAAUUACUGGGCGUAAAGCGCACGUAGGCGGCUUGGUAUGUCGGUUGUGAAAUCCCCGGGCUCAACCUGGGAACUGCAUCCGAAACUGCCUUGCUAGAGUAUGGGAGAGGGAAGUGGAAUUUCCGGUGUAGCGGUGAAAUGCGUAGAUAUCGGAAGGAACAUCAGUGGCGAAGGCGACUUCCUGGACCAAUACUGACGCUCAGGUGCGAAAGCGUGGGGAGCAAACAGG